GGUUAAGCGACUAAGCGUACACGGUGGAUGCCCUGGCAGUCAGAGGCGAUGAAGGACGUGCUAAUCUGCGAAAAGCGUCGGUAAGGUGAUAUGAACCGUUACAGCCGGCGAUGUCCGAAUGGGGAAACCCAGUGCAAUUCGUUGCACUAUCGUUUGAUGAAUACAUAGUCAAACGAGGCGAACCGGGGGAACUGAAACAUCUAAGUACCCCGAGGAAAAGAAAUCAACCGAGAUUCCCCCAGUAGCGGCGAGCGAACGGGGAGCAGCCCGGAGUCUGAAUCAGCUUGUGUGUUAGUGGAAGCGUCUGGAAAGUCGCAGGGUACAGGGUGAUACUCCCGUACACUAAAACGCACAGGUUGUGAACUCGAAGAGUAGGGCGGGACACGUGGUAUCCUGUCUGAAUAUGGGGGGACCAUCCUCCAAGGCUAAAUACUCCUGACUGACCGAUAGUGAACCAGUACCGUGAGGGAAAGGCGAAAAGAACCCCGGCGAGGGGAGUGAAAAAGAACCUGAAACCGUGUACGUACAAGCAGUAGGAGCCCACUAGUUGGGUGACUGCGUACCUUUUGUAUAAUGGGUCAGCGACUUAUAUUCUGUAGCAAGGUUAACCGUAUAGGGGAGCCGCAGGGAAACCGAGUCUUAACUGGGCGUUAAGUUGCAGGGUAUAGACCCGAAACCCGGUGAUCUAGCCAUGGGCAGGUUGAAGGUUGGGUAACACUAACUGGAGGACCGAACCGACUAAUGUUGAAAAAUUAGCGGAUGACUUGUGGCUGGGGGUGAAAGGCCAAUCAAACCGGGAGAUAGCUGGUUCUCCCCGAAAGCUAUUUAGGUAGCGCCUCGUGAACUCAUCUUCGGGGGUAGAGCACUGUUUCGGCUAGGGGGUCAUCCCGACUUACCAACCCGAUGCAAACUACGAAUACCGAAGAAUGUUAUCACGGGAGACACACGGCGGGUGCUAACGUCCGUCGUGAAGAGGGAAACAACCCAGACCGCCAGCUAAGGUCCCAAAGUCAUGGUUAAGUGGGAAACGAUGUGGGAAGGCCCAGACAGCCAGGAUGUUGGCUUAGAAGCAGCCAUCAUUUAAAGAAAGCGUAAUAGCUCACUGGUCGAGUCGGCCUGCGCGGAAGAUGUAACGGGGCUAAACCAUGCACCGAAGCUGCGGCAGCGACACUAUGUGUUGUUGGGUAGGGGAGCGUUCUGUAAGCCGUUGAAGGUGGCCUGUGAGGGUUGCUGGAGGUAUCAGAAGUGCGAAUGCUGACAUAAGUAACGAUAAUGCGGGUGAAAAACCCGCACGCCGGAAGACCAAGGGUUCCUGUCCAACGUUAAUCGGGGCAGGGUGAGUCGACCCCUAAGGCGAGGCCGAAAGGCGUAGUCGAUGGGAAACAGGUUAAUAUUCCUGUACUCGGUGUUACUGCGAAGGGGGGACGGAGAAGGCUAUGUUGGCCGGGCGACGGUUGUCCCGGUUUAAGCAUGUAGGCGGAUGUUCCAGGUAAAUCCGGAACGUUACUAACGCUGAGGUGUGAUGACGAGGCACUACGGUGCUGAAGUGACAAAUGCCCUGCUUCCAGGAAAAGCCUCUAAGCAUCAGGUAACAUCAAAUCGUACCCCAAACCGACACAGGUGGUCAGGUAGAGAAUACCAAGGCGCUUGAGAGAACUCGGGUGAAGGAACUAGGCAAAAUGGUGCCGUAACUUCGGGAGAAGGCACGCUGAUGGUAGGUGAAGCGACUUGCUCGUGGAGCUGAAAUCAGUCGAAGAUACCAGCUGGCUGCAACUGUUUAUUAAAAACACAGCACUGUGCAAACACGAAAGUGGACGUAUACGGUGUGACGCCUGCCCGGUGCCGGAAGGUUAAUUGAUGGGGUUAUCCGUAAGGAGAAGCUCUUGAUCGAAGCCCCGGUAAACGGCGGCCGUAACUAUAACGGUCCUAAGGUAGCGAAAUUCCUUGUCGGGUAAGUUCCGACCUGCACGAAUGGCGUAAUGAUGGCCAGGCUGUCUCCACCCGAGACUCAGUGAAAUUGAACUCGCUGUGAAGAUGCAGUGUACCCGCGGCAAGAGACGGAAAGACCCCGUGAACCUUUACUAUAGCUUGACACUGAACACUGGUCCUUGAUGUGUAGGAUAGGUGGGAGGCUUUGAAGUGUGGACGCCAGUCUGCAUGGAGCCAUCCUUGAAAUACCACCCUUUAAUGGCUGGUGUUCUAACGUGGGCCCCUGAUCGGGGUUGCGGACAGUGUCUGGUGGGUAGUUUGACUGGGGCGGUCUCCUCCUAAAGAGUAACGGAGGAGCACGAAGGUCAGCUAAUCCUGGUCGGACAUCAGGAGGUUAGUGCAAUGGCAUAAGCUGGCUUGACUGCGAGCGUGACGGCGCGAGCAGGUGCGAAAGCAGGUCAUAGUGAUCCGGUGGUUCUGAAUGGAAGGGCCAUCGCUCAACGGAUAAAAGGUACUCCGGGGAUAACAGGCUGAUACCGCCCAAGAGUUCAUAUCGACGGCGGUGUUUGGCACCUCGAUGUCGGCUCAUCACAUCCUGGGGCUGAAGUAGGUCCCAAGGGUAUGGCUGUUCGCCAUUUAAAGUGGUACGCGAGCUGGGUUUAGAACGUCGUGAGACAGUUCGGUCCCUAUCUGCCGUGGGCGCUGGAGAAUUGAGGGGGGCUGCUCCUAGUACGAGAGGACCGGAGUGGACGCAUCACUGGUGUUCGGGUUGUCAUGCCAAUGGCAUUGCCCGGUAGCUAAAUGCGGAAGAGAUAAGUGCUGAAAGCAUCUAAGCACGAAACUUGCCCCGAGAUGAGUUCUCCCUGACUCCUUGAGAGUCCUGAAGGAACGUUGAAGACGACGACGUUGAUAGGCCGGGUGUGUAAGCGCAGCGAUGCGUUGAGCUAACCGGUACUAAUGAACCGUGAGGCUUAACCUU
RNAcentral lists this ribosomal RNA (2908 nucleotides) under Klebsiella michiganensis. RNAcentral describes it as "23S ribosomal RNA". It matches the Rfam family "Bacterial large subunit ribosomal RNA". Lineage: Bacteria; Pseudomonadati; Pseudomonadota; Gammaproteobacteria; Enterobacterales; Enterobacteriaceae. The record is from RNAcentral.